GUGGGGAAUAUUGGACAAUGGGGGGAACCCUGAUCCAGCCAUGCCGCGUGUGUGAAGAAGGCCUUUUGGUUGUAAAGCACUUUAAGCGAGGAGGAGGCUACCGAGAUUAAUACUCUUGGAUAGUGGACGUUACUCGCAGAAUAAGCACCGGCUAACUCUGUUCCAGCAGCCGCGGUAAUACAGAGGGUGCAAGCGUUAAUCGGAUUUACUGGGCGUAAAGCGCGCGUAGGUGGCCAAUUAAGUCAAAUGUGAAAUCCCCGAGCUUAACUUGGGAAUUGCAUUCGAUACUGGUGGGCUAGAGUAUGGGAGAGGAUGGUAGAAUUCCAGGUGUAGCGGUGAAAUGCGUAGAGAUCUGGAGGAAUACCGAUGGCGAAGGCAGCCAUCUGGCCUAAUACUGACACUGAGGUGCGAAAGCAUGGGGAGCAAACAGGAUUAGAAACCCGGGUAGUCC
Molecule: ribosomal RNA, 451 nt
Filed under: uncultured bacterium
Lineage: Bacteria
Description: partial 16S ribosomal RNA
Rfam family: Bacterial small subunit ribosomal RNA
Source: RNAcentral